RNAcentral lists this long non-coding RNA (3766 nucleotides) under Gallus gallus (chicken). Its description in RNAcentral is "lncRNA (ENSGALG00010010103.1)". The record is from RNAcentral. Lineage: Eukaryota; Metazoa; Chordata; Aves; Galliformes; Phasianidae.
CUCGUGGAAAAGGACUUUAAUUUGGGGAGGGGUCCGACUGCCACCCUCAGCCCCCCAUCCUCCCCACACCAAAAUGUCCGAAGGUGGAGAGCGGUGGGAAGAACCCAACGUGAAGAGCAACGGGAAAAGCCAACGUGAAGGGUGAGGUGUGCCACCCAAUGUGGGGCAAUGGGGCACCCAAUGGGGGGCAAUGGGGUAACCAAUGUGGGGCAAUGGGGUAACCAACGUGGGGAAAAUGGGGCAACUAACCUGAGCAAUGGGUCAACCAAUGUAGGGCAAUGGGGCACCCAACAUGGCACAUUGAGGGAACCCUACAUGGGGCACUGGGGCACCCAACGUGGGGCAAUGGGGUAACCAACGUGGGGCAAUGGGGCACCCAAUGGGGGGCAAUGGGGUAACCAAUGUGGGGCAAUGGGGCACCCAACGUGGGCAAUGGGAGAACCAACAUGGCACAAUGGGGCACCCAACGUGGGGAAAAUGGGGCAACUAACCUGAGCAAUGGGUCAACCAAUGUAGGGCAAUGGGGCACCCAACAUGGCACAUUGAGGGAACCCUACAUGGGGCACUGGGGCACCCAACGUGGGGCAAUGGGGCACCCAAUGGGGGGCAAUGGGGUAACCAAUGUGGGGCAAUGGGGUUACCAACGUGGGGCAAUGGGGCACCCAAUGGGGGGCAAUGGGGUAACCAACAUGGGGCAAUGGGGCAACCAACCUGAGCAAUGGGAGAGCCCCAUAUGGGGCAAUGGGGCACCCAACCUGAGCAAUGGGAGAACCAACAUGGCACAAUGGGGCAACCAACCUGAGCAAUGGGACAACCCUAUAUGGGGCAACGGGGCAACCAAGAUGGCGCAAUGGGACACCCAACAUGGGGCAAUGGGGUAACCCUACAUGAGGCAAUGGGACAGCCAACAUGGGGCAAUGGGACAACCCCAUAUGGGGCAAUGGGGCACCCAAUCUGAGCAGUGGGGCAACCAAUGUGGCGCAAUGGGACACCCAACAUGGGGCAAUGGGACAACCAAUGUGGGGCAAUGGGGUAACCCUACAUGAGGCAAUGGGACAGCCAACGUGGGGCAAUGGGGUAACCAACCUGAGCAAUGGGACAACCUUAUAUGGGGCAAUGGGGCAAUCAAGAUGGCGCAAUGGGACACCCAACAUGGGGCAAUGGGGCAACCAGCAUGGGGCAAUGGGGCAAUCAACGUGGGGCAAUGGUGUAACCAAGGUGGGGCAAUGGGGUAACCAACAUGGGGCAAUGGGGCACCCAACCUGAGCAAUGGGAGAGCCCCAUAUGGGGCAAUGGGGCACCCAACGUGGGGAAAUGGGAGAACCAACAUGGCACAAUGGGGCACCCAAUGUGGGACAAUGGGAGAAACCUACAUGGGGCAAAUGGGGCACGCAACCUGAGCAAUGAUGCAAACAAUGUGGGGCAAUGAGAGAACCCUACAUGGGGCACUGGGGCACCCAAUGUGGGGCAAUGAGGUAACCAACCUGAGCAACGGGACAACCCUAUAUGGGGCAACGGGGCAACCAACAUGGCACAAUGGGACACCCAACAUGGGGCAAUGGGACAACCAACGUGGGGCAAUGGGGUAACCCUACAUGAGGCAAUGGGACAGCCAACGUGGGGCAAUGGCAAAACCCCAUAUGGGGCAAUGGGGCACCCAACCUGAGCAAUGAGGUACCCAACAUGGCACAAUGAGAGAACCUUACAUGGGGCAAUGGGGUAACCAACGUGGGGCAGUGGGGUAACCAAUGUGGGGCAGGGGGAGAACCCAACAGAAAGAGCAAUGGGGCACCCAACAUGGGGUAGUGGGAGAACCAACGUGAGGCAAUGGAGCAACCAACCUGAGCAAUGGGGCAACCCUACAUGGGGCAAUGGGGCACCCAACAUGGCGCAAUGGGGUACCCAACCUGAGUAAUGGGGCAACCAACAUGGCGCAAUGGGGCAACCCUACCUGGGGCGAUGGGACAACCAACCUGAGCAAUGGGACACGCAACGUGGGGCAAUGGGAUGACCCCAUACGGGGUAAUGGGACAACCAACAUGGGGCAAUGGGACAACGAACAUGGGGCAAUGGAUGACCCCACAUGGGGCAAUGGGACAACCAACAUGGGGAGAUGGGACGACCAACAUGGGGCGAUGGGAUGACCCCACAUGGGGCGAUGGGACGACCAACAUGGGGCGAUGGGAUGACCCCACAUGGGGCAAUGGGACAACCAACAUGGGGCGAUGGGAUGACCCCACAUGGGGCAAUGGGACAACCAACAUGGGGCGAUGGGAUGACCCCACAUGGGGCGAUGGGACGACCAACAUGGGGCAAUGGGAUGACCCCACAUGGGGCGAUGGGACGACCAACAUGGGGCAAUGGGAUGACCCCACAUGUGGCAAUGGGACAACCAACAUGGGGCGAUGGGACGACCAACAUGGCGCAAUGGAAGAACCCAACAUGGGGCAAUGGGAUGACCCCAUAUGGGGUAAUGGGACAACCAAUAUGGCGCAAUGGGACGACCAGCAUGGGGCGAUGGGAUGACCCCACAUGGGGCGACGGGACAACCAACAUGGGGCAAUGGAAGAACCCUACAUGGGGCAAUGGAAGAACCCUACAUGGGGUGAUGGGACACCCAACCUGAGCAGUGGGGCAAUCCUACACGGGGCAAUGGGACGACCCUACAUGGGGAAUGGGACAACCAACAUGGGGCAAUGGGGCAACCAAUGUGGGGCAAUGGGAAAACCCCAUAUGGGGCAAUGGGGCACUCAGUGUGGGGCAAUGGGAGGACCCAACAUGGGGCAAUGGGGCAACCAACGUGGCGCAAUGGGACAACCCUACAUGGGGCGAUGGGACAACCAACCUGAGCAAUGGGACACGCAACGUGGGCAAUGGGAUGACCUCAUACGGGGUAAUGGGACAACCAACAUGGGGCAAUGGGACAACGAACAUGGGGCAAUGGGAUGACCCCACAUGGGGCAAUGGGACAACCAACAUGGGGCAAUGGGAUGACCCCACAUGGGGCAAUGGGACAACCAACAUGGGGUGAUGGGACAACUAACGUGGCACAAUGGAAGAACCCAACAUGGGGCAAUGGGAUGACCCCUUAUGGGGUAAUGGGACAACCAAUAUGGCGCAGUGGGACGACAUGGGGCGAUGGGAUGACCCCACAUGGGGCGAUGGGACAACCAACAUGGGGCGAUGGGACAACCAACAUGGGGCGAUGGGAUGACCCCACAUGGGGCGAUGGGACAACCAACAUGGGGCGAUGGGACAACCAACAUGGGGCAAUGGAAGAACCCUACAUGGGGUGAUGGGACACCCAACCUGAGCAGUGGGGCAAUCCUACAUGGGGCAAUGGGACGACCCUACAUGGGGCAAUGGGGCAACCAACAUGGGGCAAUGGGGCAACCAAUGUGGGGCAAUGGGAAAACCCCAUAUGGGGCAAUGGGGCACUCAAUGUGGGGCAAUGGGAAAACCCCAUAUGGGGCAAUGGGGCACUCAAUGUGGGGCAAUGGGAGGACCCAACAUGGGGCAAUGGGGCAACCAAUGUGGGGCAAUGGGGCACCCAACGUGAGCAAUGGGGCAACCAACGUGGCGCAAUGGGACAACCCUACAUGGGGCGAUGGGAGAACCAACAUGGGGCAAUGGGAUGACCCAACACAAAGAGGAAUGGGGAAACCCAAUGAGAGGAGGAAUGGGAUAACCUAAAACAAAGAGCAAUGGGGAACCCCAAUGAGAAGAGCCAUGGGAUAACCUAAAACAAAGAGGAAUGGGAAACCCC